AAGCAGUUUCCAUGGCUAAUGUUGUAUCAUGAAAUUUCUUAGGAUCAGUCCUUCCCAAAUCAUGAAAGUGAUUUUCAGAUUGGAAUGAGACCCUCGCCGUACAUCUGUAUUCUGUGUGCUUUCUGUAACUCAGGUAUUGUGGCAUCGUGGACUCUAAUCUGUGACUGUCACCAUGUGGGACCUUUGCAGACAGUGAACAGCUUCCUGCACCCUGCAGCCAGUUGUACACGGGGACUGCUUGCUAAGCUAAUGCACAACUGGGGAAGAGGACACAAGAUAAUGCAGCAAACACCUGGCCAGAACAGGAGAGAAAUGCUUGGUGCAGCUGAUGGGAUGACAGGAUGCCGCCCCAGGACAAUUAUCACAAACUCAGUGGCUCGAAACAACACACAUUUGUCACCUGACGGCCCCAGAGGUCAGGAGCCCCAGAUGGGCUUCCCACCAGUGCUGCAAUAUUGAUAAGGAGUUAGCAGGGCAGGGAGAUUGAGGCCAGUUCAAGCAAGAGCUUCAAAAGCAACAGCAGCAUUUUUAGCUUGCCAAGCGUUUAGCUGGCAGUGGUAAGCCAGAAUAGAGAGACCUGGGGAGCCCUUUCAGGAGUCUUGGGCUACUGGGGAGAUAAGGUGGGGUCUUAACCUGGCUGUAGGAAAUGGACACAGGAUGUUGUAUACACGUAGGGUGGCUGCUCACCUGGUUUAACAAGCAGCCAAACAAGCAGACAGAAGACAAAAGCUUGAGUUCUUUAUUUGGAGCUUCUUGUGGUCUGGAGGGCUCUGGGAAUUCACAGGCCAGGAGGAGAAAUUUGGUUCCUGACCUUGCAAGGUCUCUUUCUUGUAAAUAUCACUUUGUUCCACAGUAAGUGUGUAUCAUUAAUGUGAUCACGAAAAGCUAUCAACAGUGGGGCAUAUAUUUAAGUUGCAUAUUUUGCUGCUGUCUGGGGGCAGCUUGGCACGGUCGGAGGUGGCCUUGUGUAUUACCGUGUCCAACAUCUCAGGAAGGCAGGCUGAGGCUGCGAGGUCCCGGGGGCCAGCUUCAUGGUGCCCCCAUCAGCUGCUGCGGCUUGAGCUUGUCAUCCUUCCUCUUGUCCUUUUUCUCGAUUAAAAGUCAUAUCGGCGCAUUCCCAAAGCAUUUUAGGAAAAGCAAAUUCCCCUGCACCCUUUGUGGAAACACUGGACCAACAGGGUUCUUUCUGUCUGCAGAGGGCUCAGUGAGUGGAAGUCUCCCCUUUGUGAGCUGGUUUAUCCCAUUCAUAGUCACUGGUACAGAAUUUUAAUUUCUUUAGAAUAAAAGUUUAAGAUAUAUAAGAUUAGGAAAUUUAAGAAAUAUGAAACAUUUUAUGAAUAAAUCAGAAACAUUAGUUGUACUGUACAUAUAACAACUCCCUGUGAUAAAUGGAUGAGAGUAAAUACUGAAAACAUGUGCUAAUAAAAAUUUUUAACAAUUGAAAAAAUAAUUCUACCACUAGAUAGAGUUCACUGUUAUCAUUCUGCCAUGUUUUCCAAUCACCGCUCACUUGAUUCUCUAUAGGUAAUUAAAAUUAAAUAUGUGAUGUUAUUGGUCAUACUGCCUCUGUAACUUUUUUUAACCUGAAAAUAUAAAUUGAACAUACACCCUUUCUGAAAAAUAGUUUGAGGGCUGGGGAUUUAGCUCAGUAGUUCCAGUGCCUGUUUCACAGGUGCAAGGUCUCAAGUUCGAUCCCUAGUACCAAAAAACAAACAAAACAAAACAAAAACUAGUUUGAGAACCUAGCUAUUUAUUGCUGUAUUCAUUAUCCAUAUUAUUAAUAUAUUACAGUUUAUUCAGAUUUUUUUCUUAGCAUUGGAUAUUAAUUUUUUCUUGAUCUUAUGAAUAACAAUGGGGAGGACAUUUUAAAAAUAAAUGAUAUGUUUGUUAUUUCUUCGUGGUUAUUACAAGUAAAAUUAUUAGAUCACAGGGUUUGGGGACAAGUUUUAAGCAGAUGAUAAAUACUUUCAGAUCACCCUCCAAAAGCUUUUUCCUUCCAACAAUUAAAAAUUAAGACAUGAUAAUGAAGAAAAGGAACAAAUCCAGACCUCUAACAGUAUAACCCA
Long non-coding RNA from Fukomys damarensis (Damara mole-rat), 2066 nucleotides. NCBI's taxonomy places the organism in Eukaryota, Metazoa, Chordata, Mammalia, Rodentia, Bathyergidae. The record is from Ensembl.